CCGUUCUCUCCUGGUCACUACAUCCACGUCUGCCCCAGAGUCAGUCACUUUUUCUCCCAGUCGCAGGGUUUUCACGUGCCAAUGGGAGUUUGGAAUAAAGUCUUUCUAAAGACUCCUUGUAGAGCUGACAUCUUAUUACUUUGCUUUGGGGAUUGAACUCUGGACCUUGCGCUUUGAGGCACGUGGCGAAACCACUGAGCUAAAUCCCCGGCCCUGGUAAAUACAACACAACUUUGAAGCACUCAUCAUGAGGAUGGAGUGAUAAGAAAAGUAAAGAAACAGCUGCAAUAAAAAGCAAUGUCAAAUAAGCCCCAAAGAGAGGAAGGAACAGACUGCCAGAAUUUUUGUGAUGAGAAGAUGUGAUCAAGAGACAUCAGUCCAGGAUCUAAACCAUGGUGGAAAUGAAGAGCAGAACAUAGUGACACAUGCUGGCCUUGUCCUGAAACCUGAUGUCCACUACUCCCACUGCUCUGAAAGAGAGAAGAUUUAAAGUCACCUUUGAUGCUCCAAGAGUAGAUCAUAGGUAUCCCAGGCCUCUGCAGGGCCUGGAAGUAGCUUGUCCUACCCUUAGAGAGCUUUUCUAACUGACUUUUUCUGACAGUGAUUUGUCAGAUGUGUAGUGAAUUCUGCAAGUCCGGGCCCCAAAGAAGUAAAAGAGUAAUUGAAGUGGAUUAACUGAUGGUCAACUUGUAACGCCCAGCUGAACUGAAUCAGCAUGGUCUGGGCGUGGAAGAUCCAUCUGAGGAUUGUUGUCAACAGCCACAAAAAGAGAACUGGAGGGAAAGAUCAUGGGUGUUGACUUUCUAGGAGAAGCCUGCUGUGAUUUUUCUGACACCAACUAGGCUGUUCAUGUCAGAGGAGGAAGUUGGGGACUUGCUGUCCCUGGGAAUGGCUGCUGUUUUUGUCAGGGGAGCUCUGAUCUUC
Molecule: long non-coding RNA, 924 nt
Filed under: Heterocephalus glaber (naked mole-rat)
Lineage: Eukaryota; Metazoa; Chordata; Mammalia; Rodentia; Bathyergidae
Description: lncRNA (ENSHGLG00100039603.1)
Source: RNAcentral